CUACGGGGUGCACCAGUGGGGAAUAUUGCGCAAUGGGGGAAACCCUGACGCAGCAACGCCGCGUGGAGGAUAACACAUUUCGGUGCGUAAACUCCUUUUAUAUGAGAAGAUAAUGACGGUAUCAUAUGAAUAAGCGCCGGCUAACUCCGUGCCAGCAGCCGCGGUAAUACGGGGGGCGCAAGCGUUACUCGGAAUCACUGGGCGUAAAGGGAGCGUAGGCGGAUUAAUAAGUGUCUUGUGAAAUGCUAUGGCUUAACCAUAGAAUUGCAAGACAAACUGUUAAUCUAGAGUUCAGAAGAGGUAGCUGGAAUUGGUGGUGUAGGGGUAAAAUCCGUAGAGAUCACCAGGAAUGCCAACGGCGAAAGCAAGCUACUGGGAUGACACUGACGCUGAGGCUCGAAAGCGUGGGGAGCAAACAGGAUUAGAUACCCUCGUAGUC
RNAcentral lists this ribosomal RNA (439 nucleotides) under uncultured bacterium. Its description in RNAcentral is "partial 16S ribosomal RNA". It matches the Rfam family "Bacterial small subunit ribosomal RNA", at positions 339 to 795 of the family's 1533-position model. The record is from RNAcentral.